Molecule: RNA transcript, 771 nt
Organism: Cebus imitator (Panamanian white-faced capuchin)
Lineage: Eukaryota; Metazoa; Chordata; Mammalia; Primates; Cebidae
Gene name: glutathione S-transferase Mu 5-like
Exons: 1
Source: RefSeq, a predicted model, not a curated record
AGCACUAGCUGUAGGCCCUUCCUCUCCUUUCUCCCGACUAAAAGUCUGACCCCGGCGCCGCUUGAGGCCUGUUUGCAGAACUGGCAAAAACCAGCACCAUGCCCAUGACACUGGGGUACCGGGACCUCCACGGGCUGGCCCACACCAUCCGCCUACUCCUGGAAUACACAGACUCAAGCUACGAGGAAAAGACCUACACGAUGGGGGACACUCCUGAAUAUGACAGAAGCCAGUGGCUGAAGGAAAAAUUCAAGCUGGGCCUGGACUUUCCCAAUCUGCCCUACUUGAUUUGAUGGGGCUCACAAGAUCACCUAGAGCAACGCCAUCCUGCACUACAUUGCCCACAAGCACAACCUGUGUGGGGAGACAGAAGAGGAGAAGAUUCGUGUGGAUAUUUUGGAGAACCAGACCAUGGAUACCCGGAUGAAGCUGGUCAUGAUCUGCUACGACUCAGAAUUUGAGAAACUGAAGCCAAAGUACUUGGAGGAACUCCCUGAAAAGUUAAAGCUUUACUCACAGUUUCUGGGGAAGCGGCCACGGUUUGCAGGAGAUAAGAUCACCUUUGUGGAUUUCCUCGCCUAUGACAUCCUUGACCACAACCGUAUAUUUGAGCCCCACUGCCUGGAUGCCUUCCCAAACCUGAAGGACUUCAUCUCCUGAUUUGAGGGUCUGAAGAAGAUCUCUGCCUACAUGAAGUCCCGCAGUUUCAUCCCAGGUCUUUUGUUUGGAAAGUCAGCUACAUGGAACAGCACAUAAGGCCCGGGUUGCCAG